CGAGGGGAGCAAGCGUUGUUCGGAUUUACUGGGCGUAAAGGGCGCGUAGGCGGUCGUGACAAGUCACUUGUGAAAUCUCCGGGCUUAACUCGGAACGGUCAAGUGAUACUGUCGGACUAGAGUACAGAAGGGGCAACUGGAAUUCUCGGUGUAGCGGUGAAAUGCGUAGAUAUCGAGAGGAACACCUGCGGCGAAGGCGGGUUGCUGGGCUGAUACUGACGCUGAUGCGCGAAAGCCAGGGGAGCGAACGGGAUUAGAUACCCCGGUAGUCCUGGCCUUAAACGAUGAAUGCUUGGUGUCUCGGGUCACAUAGUCCCGGGGUGCCGUCGCUAACGCUUUUAGCAUUCCGCCUGGGGAGUACGGUCGCAAGACUG
RNAcentral lists this ribosomal RNA (374 nucleotides) under uncultured organism. RNAcentral describes it as "bacterial SSU rRNA". It matches the Rfam family "Bacterial small subunit ribosomal RNA", at positions 526 to 896 of the family's 1533-position model. The record is from RNAcentral.